AUUGAACGCUGGCGGCAGGCCUAACACAUGCAAGUCGAGCGGAUGAAGGGAGCUUGCUCCUGGAUUCAGCGGCGGACGGGUGAGUAAUGCCUAGGAAUCUGCCUGGUAGUGGGGGAUAACGUCCGGACACGGGCGCUAAUACCGCAUACGUCCUGAGGGAGAAAGUGGGGGAUCUUCGGACCUCACGCUAUCAGAUGAGCCUAGGUCGGAUUAGCUAGUUGGUGGGGUAAAGGCCUACCAAGGCGACGAUCCGUAACUGGUCUGAGAGGAUGAUCAGUCACACUGGAACUGAGACACGGUCCAAACUCCUACGGGAGGCAGCAGUGGGGAAUAUUGGACAAUGGGCGAAAGCCUGAUCCAGCCAUGCCGCGUGUGUGAAGAAGGUCUUCGGAUUGUAAAGCACUUUAAGUUGGGAGGAAGGGCAGUAAGUUAAUACCUUGCUGUUUUGACGUUACCAACAGAAUAAGCACCGGCUAACUUCGUG
This 484-nucleotide ribosomal RNA is filed under the name uncultured bacterium. Its description in RNAcentral is "partial 16S ribosomal RNA". It matches the Rfam family "Bacterial small subunit ribosomal RNA", at positions 30 to 507 of the family's 1533-position model. The record is from RNAcentral.